RNAcentral lists this ribosomal RNA (303 nucleotides) under uncultured bacterium. RNAcentral describes it as "bacterial SSU rRNA". It matches the Rfam family "Bacterial small subunit ribosomal RNA", at positions 355 to 674 of the family's 1533-position model. The record is from RNAcentral.
UGGGGAAUCUUGCACAAUGGGGGAAACCCUGAUGCAGCGACGCCGCGUGAGCGAAGAAGUAUUUCGGUAUGUAAAGCUCUAUCAGCAGGGAAUAAAAAAGAAGGUACCUGACGAAGAAGCCCCGGCUAACUACGUGCCAGCAGCCGCGGUAAUACGUAGGGGGCAAGCGUUAUCCGGAUUUACUGGGUGUAAAGGGAGCGUAGACGGUGCGUUAAGUCAGAAGUGAAAGCCCAUUGCUCAACGAUGGAGCUGCUUUUGAAACUAACGAACUAGAGUACAGGAGAGGUAAGUGGAAUUCCUAGU